UCCGGUGGCUAUAGCGAAAAGGUUACACCUGUUCCCAUCCCGAACACAGAAGUUAAGCUUUUCCGCGCCGAUGAUACUUGGUGGGCGACUGCCUGGGAAAGUAGGUCGUUGCCGGUU
RNAcentral lists this ribosomal RNA (117 nucleotides) under Aminicella lysinilytica. The record is from RNAcentral. Lineage: Bacteria; Bacillati; Bacillota; Clostridia; Peptostreptococcales; Anaerovoracaceae. RNAcentral also lists the same sequence under 1 other name.